AGAAUUUUCAAAGGUAGCACGUUAACAAGCAAACUUUUCUUAAAAUAAGUACAACCUGUUGAUUUUUCUCUUUGGGAAGUAAACAUAUUGCUUACACAGAUGAAAGACGAAAAUGACGAAGACAUAUAAGGAAUAACGCAGGGAAACUGGAUUUGAUAAUAAAGACUGGCCUAGUAUGCGGACGACACGGUUUUCCAAGACGAUUUCAAAGGAGCAAUAAUUCUAUGAUAAAAAUGACUAAGAAGUGUUUCUCCUUGAUGCAAGUUUUUCUUCACUUCCACCAAUAAGCUCAAUUUUAUAUUUCUUCUAUGAAAAUCAGUUCGACAAAAUAACAUACGCUGGUAUUUCGUAAUUGCACAUUUUUCCAUAUUUUUUGACUAAAAUACGUUUAAUAAACCUUGUUAAAAAGUUGUCUAAGAUAACUCCACUUCGCGGAAUACAUGAACAAAAGUUUAUAAAGUUGUAUGAAAAUUUUAUAUUAGGAAUGGGGUAUUAGGAAUACCGUACCAUGAGAGUUUCUAGUUAUUAUAUGGUUAAAAUAUGAAAAUAUGAAGCAUGUUCUUUAAUUGCAAUCUCAAAAAAAUGUUAAUCACUAAAAAUUUCGAAUUUUUGAUUGGUAAAGAUAUUUUUUAUAGUUAUAUAUGCAUAUAUCCUGAAUGCUUUAAUUUGACAUUUUUUUACGGAGCUUUUGUAGUAAGCAUUUGGUAUGGUCUUUGUCUGCCCCAUGACGACCCACCUAACAGAAAGGCUGAAAGAUCUUGGAAGUCGCCAGAAAGAGAACCAUUAUUUAUUUAUUGAAAGUGCCAUCUCAAAUUUGAUCGAUGAACGAAUGAGUGUAUUCGAUCCUUAGAAAUUCUAAAUUAUAAAGUAGAAAAUUUAUCAGAAACAAUGAUUGUACUUAUAAUUGUUGAAUGGCUAUAUAAAUUAACUGGUUAUUGGUGGGAGAAAGAACUAAAUAAUUUGAAAAGCUUUGAUAUUUUAACCCUUUAAAGGGCCAUUUUUUUCUAGUCAUAUUAUGUUAAAAUAUUUUUAAGCUUGAAAUUAGAGUAAGAAAAGAGAUUCAUUUAGCUUAUUAGAUAAAUUUAAUUUGAUGAAUUAAUAAAUUUGGUUAAUUAAUAAUUAAGUAACAAAUCAAGAAACAUCAUUUUGUGUGAGAUAAAGAACUAAAGCCUCUAGGUUUCUGUCUUUCUAAAAAAAUUUGUCAGAACUUAUGCCAACAUACAUAAUUUCAUACAAAGACUAAUAAAUUUGGUGGGAAGCAUACUUCCCACGGCCCUAGAAAGAGUUAAAACAACUGCUUUCGUUUUUGCAAAGUCUAACCAACAAAACAAUAAAAUAAAGAAAUAAAAAAUAUAAAUAAAUCUUAAUUUUCUAAAAUAAAACUUGGGAGAAUGGUUUCUACGUCUAAUACAAAGGCACGAAUUUCAAAUGUGUAAAAUGCAACAGAGAAGAAACUCAUGGAUUGUAGAAUUUCUGAGAAUGACAGAGGUGAAUUCAUAAAAAGAAAUAUUCUUACUUUUAAUUUCCUAAAAAUCAUCCCGUUCGUAACUGAUUGUACGGUGUCAGAAUUCUAAGAAACAUUCCACUUAUCUUCCUUUCUAGAAUGAAAAACAAACCAGAAUCAAAAGACCGGAAAUCGCAGAUGUUAUGAACUCUGAACGAAUAAUGACGCCAUCAAGUCUUAAUCUGCAAAUUUUGAUUUAUCUAAUGAUCGGGAUAUUUUUUCUGGUGUAGCAGUGAGUGGAGGUGGGGUGUGGCAAACAAAAACCGCUAUUUGAUCUACUGGAAAUAUUUUUGUUCCAGAUAGUUUUGACAAAUGAGUUUGCUAAUUUAUUGUAGACUGAAAAAAAAAAUCCCUGUUGCGGUUUCUGGGUUAAAUAGUUCUAAAAUAAAUGUGAAAUCAAGAGUCUAUUCUGUACUUUCUAAUAAAAGUGACUUAGAGAUUCAGUUAGAAUUUUAAUGCGUUCCUACAAUCUGAGAUAUAAUUUCGAUCAAUUCUUUAUAAAUUUCAGAAGAGCAUUUCCCUUUAAAUGUUAAACUUAACUGUUCUUUAAUUUUAUCGAAGUGGAAAAAUCGAUGCGUUGUCAGGAGCUGAAAUGUUUCAUCAAGUUUUGAAAUUCAGACAAUUAAAAUGCAUAUUGAUUUGCAAUGAUUUAAUUUAAUUUACUCGUUGCAAAUUAGUAAAAUGGUAUACUACCUACUACCAUGUCAAAUCAAUAAUUCAAUUAAUAACGGGCAAGCAUAACCUAAUAAAAAAGGGGUAAAUACGUUAUUUCUCCAUAAGUUUACUAAUCUUUUUAAUUUCACAUUCAAACUAAAAUAAUUUCCCAAGUAUUGGGGAAAGACAGGAUUCUCCCGAUCCUAAAAUUUGGCAAGGACCCCACUAAAAUAAUCAGCUAUAGGCCCAUUUCACUUUUACCCUCACAUGAGAAAUACUUGGGAAAGACAGGAUUCUCCCGAUCCUAAAAUUUGGCAAGGACCCCACUAAAAUAAUUAGCUAUAGGCCCAUUUCACUUUUACCCUCACAUAGCAAACCUCAAACAUACCUAAUAGAAUUAAAAUAUCAUACCAAUCAUUAACACCUCCAAUUCUUAGAAUAUACAUAUCAUUGAAGAAAAAUCCUCUAUCUUAGCCGAAAAUAAAUAAAUAUUUGGACAAACAAUCAGUCAGAUUCUAACGACUCGAUUCUGAUUUCACUUAAUAUGGACACGUCUUGAACGAGUCCACAUUUAUAUCAUCCGCAAACAAGAGCAAUAAUGCAACAUGGUGACACCCAAAAAUGGCAAUGCAAUAUGCAAAUAGAUUUCAGUCUUCCAAAUCAAUCGAUAUUUUCCCAAACAUUCUUUUACCUGAUAAUCUAAAGAAGCUUUCCAAAGAAGAUAACUGCAAUUCAGAAGUAAAUAUAUCUUUAAACUAUACAAAUUCAACAUAUUGGAAGAAGCAAAAGAAAACACCAACUACAACAACAAUGACUAUACAGAAUCGCCAACAGAAAUCAAGAAAACCCAAAUGUCCAUUUCUGGUUUGUAGUUUUGGGUUUUCUUUGACAAAAAUAAAAAAACAAGUAAUAUAUAUAUAAAAAAAAAUUUAAGUCAAUUCCUACUCAGGUCAACAUUUUUUUUUUAUUUUAGUUACUUUUUAUUAAAUAAUUACAAUUAAUAUAAAUAUGUAUAUGCAUAUGACAAAAUUACAAUAUUAAGUGGCAAAAUAGAGCUUGGUGACCAUUUGGCAACAUGGCGACGGAUUUGGCGACCAAAUAGAAAUUAUUGGACAAAUUUAAUUAAUUAAUUAAUAUUUGAAAAAAAAAACUGUAUUAACAUCAAGUGUCAUCCACUGCAAGUUAAAAAAAUGUAUUUGAACUUGAGUGGAUGAAUAAAAAGUAUUUUAUUAACGAUUGAAAAUUUGAGCAAAGUAUAUAUAUAUAGAGAGAGAGUGUAAGCUAAUAGUAGGAAUUGAAAAAAAUCCAAAAUUACAAAAAUAUCUAUAAUCUGAAUCACUUAGCGUAUCUCAAAAUUGGAAUUAAAACAGACGCACCUACCAGCUUACCCGAGCUAGAUGUAAAACCUGUGAAACGAAGGGGUUAUGGAGAGAGGCCCGCCACACAUUCCAUCUAUACUCGAGUCAGUACCGCCCCACUAUCAGAUUUAUCGAAAACCUUUUAAAUUUUACAUUCAUUGCCCCUAACAUGGGCAGUAAUUAAUAACAUUAUUCUGGGUAUAAUCAGAUUUUAAAUACAUGAUCUCAACCCAUCUUCAGUGGGGAUGGAUAAUAUACAGUAAUGCCCUGACAAGGGGCGAAAGAUUCUCUUUGUUUUAUUUAAAUAUUCUCACAAGUAUUAACGGGUUGUGAAAGAGAUGUUGGAAGACCCUUGGGCUCCUAACACACCUAUGAACAGUAUUUCUAAGCUAUAUGAUUAUUUGUAAAAAGUUAUUUGAUUCAUUAUUUUAAUAGAUUUUUAUGUUUUGAUUUCAGCAUUCCGGUACUGGUAAGAUGAUUUGUAAAUUUAAGUAUCAUUAUUAACCCGCUCCGAGGACCGCUAAAAUGAUUUCAUUACAUUUCAUCAAUUCAUAGUCUUCUCUAGAGAGCCAUGUCUUGACAACGAUAAAAAAAUUCUACUUCUUCAAACCCUACUUUAAGCCAAUAGAAGCUUUCCUACUGGCCAGAGAAUUCUCCUCUCCAAUCCAUUGCCUGUUCUAACCCUUCACCCUUCCACCUCCUCAACAUCUCCGCCUGGAACGCCCUCCAACUCCCAGGAGCUUCUUCAUUGGUCGGUUCUCGUUCAAGUCAGUCCUCAAUUUCAUUCUCCGCCCUUCUCUAAGCUGAUUCGAAGAUAAUAAGCCACGUCUAACUAAACGCCUGAUUGCGGGUUUUGUAAUACCCUGCAUGUUAUCACGAAGAACUUUACGAUGCCUUUUGGCACACCCCUUUCCAAGUCCCUUGCCUCCUUUACCUCGAACAGACAUGACUUCUCAAUGCCAACAGCAGGAUUGGAAAUAUCUCUCUUCUUCUCGGUACGCCUUUUAAAGAUUGAUUUUCCGAAAAAUGGAUACAAAAAGACACGAGAUGGAUAUCCCUGCGCACAGUUGAAAGAGCGGAAGGUCCUGGAAUACAAAAAACCACCAGUUGAAGAAACAGCCAUUGGAACGAUCAUCUCGUAUAACACUUUCGCAUCUGCUGCUCAAAAACGGACGGAUUUAGGGUUAAAUACGAAUGCCAUUAGGAACGACUGAAAGGACUGAAGAUACAGGGAGACAAAAAUUCAUCGAUUCCGAUGAACAAAUUGGAAUUGAAACAAUGAUAAUUCGUUGGCAUUUGUAGAACCAUUAUUAGAGAUUUAGAGUUAAAUGUAAGUUUUUAACUCAGAAAUUAUUAUACAUUUAGAUUAUUAAUGAUCAAAGACAUAGCCACAGAGAACGAGAAACAGAGGUCUCACUCUCAUACAUACUAAUAGAAACUCGUUUAACAUGGCAAUCCACAUAUAUUGUGGCGCCACUUUCACGUAGCGGAAAUAAUUGACAUUUCAUUGUCAUGACAACCACGUAAAAAAGUUUUUUUUUUCAAAGAAUAUUAUAAAAUUCAAGAAAAAACAACUUUGCUAUCAAUUUCAAUAUCUUGCUUAAACAAUGCAUUUCGGAACUAGCAUUUUUAUCAAUUUGUGUUGCUUUCUCACUUUUGUAUUAAAAAAAAUUCCUUCAUAGGAAAUUUGGAGUAUAAAUUGGUAUUUAAUAUUAAUGUAAUCACAUUUUCGUAAUGUAAUAAUUUAAGACAUAGACGUGUAAUAUAAUAAAUUUAAUGUUUUUAAAUAAUUAAACUUUAAUUACUCUUUUCAAGACGUUCUUUCAUAUCAUAUUUUUUUUAACUCCAUUGGAUAUUAAGUUUCAAUGAUUAAGAUAAGAACAAAGUAACAGUCAGAAUAUUUUUUUUUAAUUUCGACAGCAAUUAGCUUUUAGUAAAUUUAUGCUCACUCUUAUAUAAGCUUACAAAAGGUGUUAGGAAUCUGAAAUUAAAUAUUUUUUCCAACCUUGAAAGCAAAUUACAUUCUUUUAAUUAUUUUUGCAGCAUUCUAUACUCAAAAUAAUACCAACACUCAACUGAAAUAAUCAAAAUAAGAAAUAUUUUUACUGAGAAAGCAUAACAAUUAACAAAACAAUGAAAAUUAAUAACAUUUCUAACACAUUUUGAAAAUCUACAAAGCAAAAUCUUUUGUUAAGUUCACGCAUUUAAUUAAAGACCUUUGUUAAAUAUAAAUAAAAACUUCACAUAUAAAAAUUUCGGUGGAAGGGUUCAAUGUUCUUAACGUUUAGCAGAUGCAAAUUCAAGGCAACUGCCAUUGUGUGAUUCAGUAUCUAAAAAAAUAAACAUAUUUUGAUUAAGAUUCAAUUAUGCAACGUCAGUUUCCAUUUUAAAUAAACUCUCUUUUAAAAUCCCGAUGUUUAACUAUUGUGAAUAAAUAAGUCAUUAAAAUUAUCGUUAUAAUUUAUAAAAAAUUCUUA
Argiope bruennichi is the source of this 5993-nucleotide RNA transcript. RefSeq lists it as uncharacterized. The record is from RefSeq and is a predicted model, not a curated record. Lineage: Eukaryota; Metazoa; Arthropoda; Arachnida; Araneae; Araneidae. The transcript has 6 exons.